AUGGAUCUGGAACCGGCCGUGCUCAUUCCCGCGGUUCUUUUCACCUUCGUGGCUCUGGUUUUUGCUUCCUCGCUCCUCGGUAGGAAGACCGACUCCUCGUCCUCUUCAGGCGGGACCAAAAAGCCCAAAGUCGGCUACGGAGAUGAGGCUCCUCCGUCCAGAGCGCUGGGAGAACCGCUCCGGUCCCCGGGACCAGAGCCACCGGCUCCGGAGGAAAAGAACCGAGAGUCGGAGGCUGCUCCUGUGACCGCACCAGAACCCGUCUCAGUACAAGAACCAGAACCAGCACAGAAACCUAUUCCAGUACCAGAACCUGCUGCAGAACCAGAACCGCCACGGAAACCUAUUCCAGUACCAGAACCUGCUGCAGAACCAGAACCGCCACGGAAACCUAUUCCAGUACCAGAACCAGUACAAGAACCAGAACCUGCUGCAGAACUAGAACCGCCACGGAAACCUAUUCCAGUACCAGUACCAGAACAUGCUGCAAAACCAGAACCAGCACCGGAACAUGUGAUGGUACUCAAACCUGUUACAAAGCCAGCUAAUCCAGAUAAAGCACUAGAACCGGCUCCAGAACCAGUUAAAGGUCCAGAAAAUGUCCCUGAAAAAGUAAUUGCGCCAGAACCUGACCCUGAACCAGUUCCAGAACCAUCAUUGGAGCCAGCUGUAGAAUCUGUACCUGAACCUGUUCUAGAGUCGGAUCCGGUUGCUGAUCCAGAACCAGAAGUAAUGUCCGAACCAGUACCUGAAGUGGUUCAACAGCAUGUGACCGAACCAGAACCAGAGAACGCUGACGAUUCUGCACCUGGACCAGUUCCUGAAUCACCCAAACCUGCUGAAGAGGUGUCCAAAGAACCAGAACCAGAGGUCGUCCUGGCCGAUGUGGCUGCAGCUGGCGAGGAGCUGAUGAAACCCGCCCAGCUGGAGACGCUGUUGAUGAAGGAGGUGAAGGAGGAGCAGAGGAUUGAGUUGACCCCUGACUUCACCUGUCUCUAGUCCACCUGAGCAGCCUAUGCUGGAGGGACCUGGUAAGGUGUCACUUCUGUAACCUUUGACCCCAGACAGGACAGACUGAGACACAUGAGUUUGAGACUUCCUGUUGAAACAAAUAACAAUUUAACCAUUAACAGGAUGAUUUGGAGUUCAAAGGUCAAAGACCUGAACUAGAGCUGUUCCUCUAGUCCGAAUUCUAAUCAGGAUGAUGACUCGGUCUGUGUCUGCUGAUGAAGUCUGUCUGGGUCUGGGUCCAGCAGCAUGGCGCUGGUAGAAGGGGCAACGAUUGUUUGUUUACGUCCUGCUGCUUUGAUCCAGAUGGCUUCCCCUCAUCCUCUUAACCCCCCCACAGACCCCAGACCAGCUGGGUCUGAGGAGACUCUAUCCCUGAGGACUAAGACCUUCUUACUGGACUCCAGCUGGUUUUCUAAAAGCUCUGCAGAAUUAAAUUCAGGUCCAGAUUUUAAGAUCAAGAAUAAGGAGAACCCAACACGAGAGCCCAGAAACCUCUGGGUUCUGUGCAUCUGCUGGAGAACGAAGUUCUGGGGGUUUUAUCUUGUGAAGACUGGAUACAGCAGAAGUUCUGGAGGUUCUGAAAGUCUUCAGGUUGGGUUUGGACCUCUGUGGCUCUGCAGACAUCGGACUCAAGCUAACCGAACCAGCUGAUUCUGGUCCAGGAGCGCCCCCUACUGUCGGAACCAGACACUGUACUUUAACCGUUAGGGUCUUGGUUCUGACUGAGCUGACAAGGACUAACCUGGAGAGUCAGACACACUAACGCUAUCAGAGGUUUGCAGGUUCUGAAGGAAGUGACCCAGCAGGUGGUACAGAUGUUCAGAGGAACAGCUGGAUCAAUGAUGGCCAACUCCUCUGAUCAGCUGUUUGAUGUUUCCGGUUUGAUUUAGUGUCCUCUUCAUAUUAAAACCACCGCUUUGAUUCCAGAAUAAAGCUAAAACAGCAUUUGGAUCAGGGAAUUUCCUUCAUACUAAAGCAGGAUGAUGAUGCUGGAUUUUUAAUCUGGACUUUUAAAUAAAAUCUGGUUCCUCUCAUGUUCCUCUGGUUCCUCUCAUGUUCCUCUGGUUCGUCUGCCCGCCUCAGCUUUGUGUCUCCCUGCUAACCUGCACGCUAACAGACGGUGAGUUCAGUUUUACACCCAGCUGUUCCAGCUGCUCGCAGUCCAACCACCACCAUCGUGUCAGAUUAUUUUAAUCUGAUUACAGAUUAUUUUAAUCUGAUUACAGAUGUUUACCUUGAACUUUUAACCAGAACCAUGAGUUGGACAUGAACUUCUGGUUCUGAUGUGAUAAAAAUAAGUUCUGUU
This 2317-nucleotide long non-coding RNA is filed under the name Nothobranchius furzeri (turquoise killifish). RNAcentral describes it as "lncRNA (ENSNFUG00015015223.1)". The record is from RNAcentral. Lineage: Eukaryota; Metazoa; Chordata; Actinopteri; Cyprinodontiformes; Nothobranchiidae.